Long non-coding RNA from Gallus gallus (chicken), 652 nucleotides. NCBI's taxonomy places the organism in Eukaryota, Metazoa, Chordata, Aves, Galliformes, Phasianidae. The record is from Ensembl.
CUCCCAGUUCACCCUCCAGGAACCACUGAUGACAACUGAAAAAAGGUGAGCAUUAUCUUAUUUGGUCAUUUGUCCUCUUAAACAAUCCUAGAAAACUUUUCAGAACUAAGAUUUACAGCUCAUAGUUGGUCCUCAGGAGUUCAUCUAGUCAACCAUUAGCUAUGAUUUGGUUUUGCCUGCAUGCCUGAAAUGCCCAGUUUUCUCUCAAGCAUAGCUGUUUGUUAGUGUGCAUGUCUUGAACAGAUGUGAUGAAUUUUAUUGCUCUUUCUUUUCAUUCUUUCUACAAUUUGUAUCUUCAGGAAAAGACAGUGCUUAAAUAUGAAUGUAUGAUAACCAUUCUCACCAUAUGCUGCAUUGCUUUUUUAAACUACAGAAUCUACUCCCAUAUUCUUAGCAGGGGAAAAGAAAGAAGACUCGCUUCUUUGUCUUUAACGGAAAAGAUCUAAUGGACAAUGUGUUUCCAGUUGAUUACAAUAAAACUCAAGUAUUUUGAGAAGGACAAUAAACACAGUCUAGAUACUUUCAGCUGCUUCAAAAUCUCACACAGCUCGCACUGGCUCUGUGAAAGUAUCCAUCUACUUAAGCUUUCCUUCUGCUUACAAUAGAACUCAUUUCCCCAGGAAUUCUGCUGGACCUCAUCUGCAGAGCUCAG